CCAAUAGCGUAUAUUAAAGUUGUUGCAGUUAAAAAGCUCGUAGUUGAAUUUCGGGGUUAGUAGGUUGGUCAUGCCUCUGGUAUGUACUGGUCUCACUGAUUCCUCCUUCCUGAUGAGCCGUAAUGCCAUUAAUUUGGUGUUGCGGGGAAUUUGGACUGUUACUUUGAAAAAAUUAGAGUGUUUAAAGCAAGCUAACGCUUGAAUACAUUAGCAUGGAAUAAUGAAAUAGGACGUUCGAUCCUAUUUUGUUGGUUUCUAGGAUUGACGUAAUGAUUAAUAGGGAUAGUUGAGGGCAUUAGUAUUCACUUGUCAGAGGUGAAAUUCUUGGAUUUAUUGACGACUCACUACUGCGAAAGCAUUUGCCAAGGAUGUUUUCAUUAAUCAAGAACGAAAGUUAGGGGAUCGAAGACGAUCAGAUACCGUCGUAGUCUUAACCAUAAACUAUGCCGACUAGGGAUCGGAUGAUGUUAAUUUUUUAAUGACUCAUUCGGCGCCUUACG
Molecule: ribosomal RNA, 500 nt
Filed under: uncultured Glomeromycotina
Lineage: Eukaryota; Fungi; Glomeromycota
Description: partial small subunit ribosomal RNA
Rfam family: Eukaryotic small subunit ribosomal RNA
Source: RNAcentral